This is a long non-coding RNA of Fukomys damarensis (Damara mole-rat), 297 nucleotides long. RefSeq lists it as uncharacterized. Lineage: Eukaryota; Metazoa; Chordata; Mammalia; Rodentia; Bathyergidae. The transcript has 3 exons. The record is from RefSeq and is a predicted model, not a curated record.
GUGUUUCCAAGGAAGCCCUGCAACAACCAGGCUCCUCAACUAAGGCGUUCUGUUUGCUCAGCAUCUGGGAGACGCUGCCUCAAGAUUGAUGAAGUUUUGAGUUGCUGGUUGGUAGGAGCCUAUUUUUAAAAACCAUCAGAGUCUGACUCAAACACAAGAAUGUUCGAGACUUCUUCCAGGUGUUGGAGGCUGAACCCAAGACCACAUGCUUGCUAAGCAAACACAUAACCACUGGCCACAUCCCCCGCCCAGAAGUGAGAAACCUCUUGGCAUUAAAUUCUAAGAGAAACUGAAUGA